Gorilla gorilla gorilla (western lowland gorilla) is the source of this 1331-nucleotide long non-coding RNA. RefSeq lists it as uncharacterized. The transcript is spliced from 3 exons. The record is from RefSeq and is a predicted model, not a curated record. Lineage: Eukaryota; Metazoa; Chordata; Mammalia; Primates; Hominidae.
CGGUCGCUUCUCGCAGGCGGCGCGCUUGCUGAGUCACAGUGAGGCGGCUCCGCGCAGGCGCAGCCGGGCGGGCGAGGAGCGGGGAAGCUGACUCAGGGCUGCGGCCGGGGUCCUGCCGGGUAGGAGCGCGAGGCCGGCCUGAGGGAGGAGGCCUAGCGACCCAUCUGGCGCCUCCCGCCCCGGGCACCCGCCCACGGCCGCGCAUCCUGCGGGCCCCAGGAGGCCUCCAUCUCAAAACAACGUGUUUUUAGUUGCUUCAGGCCAUCUGGAUGUAUACAUGCAGGUCACUGGGGAUAUGGUGGCUUAGCUUGGUCUCAGAGGCCUGACAGGAGUUCAAGACCAGCCUGGUGAACAUGAUGAAACCCUGUCUCUACAAAAAUAAGAAAUGAACGCGGCAUGGUGGCAUGCACCUGCAGUCCCAGCCUCUUGGGAGGUGGAGGCAUUAGUCAGCUGUGAAUGCGCCCUGCACUAGAGCCUGGGCAGCAGAGCAGAGCAUUCCUCAAACCCAAAAAGCGUCGUGCCAACCGGACCAGAUGGUCGCCUAAUCAACAGAGACCACGCCCAAUCAGAGAACUCAAGGGCUGUGAAAAGAGCAGGACCUCACCAGCUGCACGGCGGUGGUGACUGGCUCCAUCUUGCUGUCCCUCCCAAUCACACAACAUCUCCCCUUGAAGGCUCUGCCCAGGCCUGGACUCCCACCUUUCAAGAUGUCUGGAUCAGUGCAGGACCUCCUUCUUGGCCACACUGCUCUCCUUGGACUGGUUCGUUAACCCUGUUUUACCCACAUUUUCUUUUUUUUUCUUUUUUUUUUUUUUUUGAAACGGAGUUUCAUUCUUGUUGCCCAGGCUGGAGUGCAAUGACUCGGUCUCAGCUCAUUGCAACCUCCGCCUUGCAGGUUCAAGUGAUUCUCCCACCUCAGCCUCCCAAGUAGGAUUACAGGUACACACCACCACGCCCAGCUAAUUUUUUUGUAUUUUAGGAAGAGAUGGGGUUUCACCAUGUUAGCCAGGCUGGUCAGGUGAUCCAUCCGCCUUGGCCUCCCAAAGUGCUGGGAUUACAGGCGUGAGGCACUGUGCCCGGCCUGCCCCCCUUUUCUCUUGAUGUAAGUGGACCUUUUAAUCCAUAAUCUGUAACAUUUAUGUAUUAAGUUUACUACUAUCUUUGGUUUGCAGUGUUGACUCACCUGUGGAGUGGUCUGAGCCUGAAUGCCCGGGGCUGUGGCCACCGAGUGAACGGGCUGUGCUAAGGGAAUUGCCACCUUGGGAACCCUGUGUAGUUACGGCUUUUCUGAUUAAGUAUCAAUAAAAGUCUGACCUUGUGAAAAAAGCAAA